Molecule: ribosomal RNA, 407 nt
Filed under: uncultured bacterium
Lineage: Bacteria
Description: partial 16S ribosomal RNA
Rfam family: Bacterial small subunit ribosomal RNA
Source: RNAcentral
AUUGAACGCUAGCGGGAUGCCUUACACAUGCAAGUCGAACGGAGUGGCGAACGGGUGAGUAAUGUAUCGGAACGUGCCCAGUAGCGGGGGAUAACUACGCGAAAGCGUAGCUAAUACCGCAUACUAUUGGAGCGGCCGAUAUCGGAUUAGCUAGUUGGUUGGGUAACGGCUCACCACGGCGACGAUCCGUAGCUGGUUUGAGAGGACGACCAGCCACAAUGGGACGGAGACACGGCCCAGACUCCUACGGGAGGCAGCAGGGGGGAAUUUUGGACAAUGGGGGAAACCCUGAUCCAGCCAUCCCGCGUGGGCGAGGAAGGCCUUCGGGUUGUAAAGCACUUUCAGCGAGGAGGCGUUACUCGCAGAAGAAGCACAGGCUAACUCCGUGCCAGCAGCCGCGGUAAUAC